RNAcentral lists this ribosomal RNA (744 nucleotides) under Rhodobacteraceae bacterium N1mML14. RNAcentral describes it as "bacterial SSU rRNA". It matches the Rfam family "Bacterial small subunit ribosomal RNA", at positions 111 to 893 of the family's 1533-position model. The record is from RNAcentral. Lineage: Bacteria; Pseudomonadati; Pseudomonadota; Alphaproteobacteria; Rhodobacterales; Paracoccaceae.
UAACGCGUGGGAAUAUACCCUUUGGUACGGAAUAGCCUCUGGAAACGGAGAGUAAUACCGUAUGAGCCCUUCGGGGGAAAGAUUUAUCGCCAAAGGAUUAGCCCGCGUUAGAUUAGGUAGUUGGUGGGGUAAUGGCCUACCAAGCCUACGAUCUAUAGCUGGUUUUAGAGGAUGAUCAGCAACACUGGGACUGAGACACGGCCCAGACUCCUACGGGAGGCAGCAGUGGGGAAUCUUGGACAAUGGGGGCAACCCUGAUCCAGCCAUGCCGCGUGAGUGAUGAAGGCCUUAGGGUCGUAAAGCUCUUUCGCCUGUGAAGAUAAUGACGGUAGCAGGUAAAGAAACCCCGGCUAACUCCGUGCCAGCAGCCGCGGUAAUACGGAGGGGGUUAGCGUUGUUCGGAAUUACUGGGCGUAAAGCGCACGUAGGCGGACUGGAAAGUUGGGGGUGAAAUCCCGGGGCUCAACCCCGGAACUGCCUCCAAAACUAUCAGUCUAGAGUUCGAGAGAGGUGAGUGGAAUUCCAAGUGUAGAGGUGAAAUUCGUAGAUAUUUGGAGGAACACCAGUGGCGAAGGCGGCUCACUGGCUCGAUACUGACGCUGAGGUGCGAAGUGUGGGGAGCAAACAGGAUUAGAUACCCUGGUAGUCCACACCGUAACGAUGAAUGCCAGUCGUCGGGUAGCAUGCUAUUCGGUGACACACCUAACGAAUUAAGCAUUCCGCCUGGGGAGUACGGUCGCAAGA